AUGCGGUUUGUGGUAACUGGUUCCAGCAGCCCUAGGAAUCUAAUACACUGCCCAUGGAACAAAUCCUUUCUUGACCACCAAUGGCUGCAUGACUUAUCCUGAGAAGAUCAUGGGGAUUUUGGAUGCCAGGUCAACCCUUACACUCAGCAAGGAAGUGGAAGGGCCUCAGUUUCAAACACUUUGUAAACACAGAGGUUAUUUUGAGGAUCAAGUGAAACUUAGAAACAAUAACAACAAAAAAAGCAAAGUCUGUGAUCAAGAAGAAUUACUCUGUUGCAACAAUAUAAACUAAGAAAAAAAUACGCAAAAUUCUCUGCUGCCUUGGGAGAUGAUCUCAUGAUGUGUAUCAUUUACUUUUAAUAUUUUUAUUUAUUUAUUUUUGAGACGGAGUCUCGCUCUGUCGCCCAGGCUGGAGUGCAGUGGCGUGAUCUCGGCUCACUGCAACCUUCGCCUCCCGGGCUCAAGUGAUUCUCCUGCUUCAGCCUCCUGAGUAGCUGGGAUUAUAGGCAUGUGCCGCCAUGCCUGCCUAGUUUUUUAUUUUUAGUAGAGAUGGGGUUUCACCAUGUUGGUCAGGCUGCUCUCAAACUCCUGACCUUGUGAUCUGUGCGCCUCAGCCUCCCAAAGUGCUGGGAUUACUGGUGUGACCGACCGUGCCUGGCCAAUGUGUAUGAUUUAAUAGCCAGCAGCAACAGGCCACUAACAUGCCAUCUGCUAACAGGGGCUCUAGCUAUUAACAUCAACAGAGCUAAAAACUCUUAUGUCUGAUCCCUUGCAAAUGGCGAAGACCUGGCUGAGAAUUAUUAUCUCAUGCUUUCAGAGAAAACUUUGCUUGUCCUGCACUGAAAAAUCUGGCUGCAAUAAUCACAUGGAAGAAGGUAUGUUUGUUGGCAUGGUUCAUGGGCUGGCUUAUGACUUCUAAGCAGAAGAUACAAAAUAAUAUAAAAAUCCUGCAACAUGCACAAUGUAGCUGAUAUUCAUGUUCUCUUUAAAUAUCUUAACACUGACUUACAUAUUUAAGGGUGUGGAGUCUUUGAGCUUGGGAAGCAUCUUAUUACUGAGGUACAAAUGCUAAAAGAGGGACAUUUCUUCUAUCUACCGCAUUUUCAAUGAAAAGAUGCUGAAGGUGAAUAAACAGCUCUGCAAACCCAGUUUUGUUUAACUUGGCAACAGCAGUAAGUAAGUAUCACUGGACACAGAGACACUGGAAUAGAUUCAGUCUUUAGUCUUAUUCAUCACGUCUGACCUUGGGCAUAUUACAUGGUUUUCCUGAGCCUAUGAAAUCAUGCGGCUGAACGAGCUGAAAACUAAGAUUCUUUCCUUUGCUAAUAAAUUUCAGCAAACGAUAGGAGUAAGAACGGCUGUCUAACGAGACUACCAAAUGCUACGAGACGCAGCAAGCAAUGUCCCUUUACCUAAUGGAUACAGCUUCUUAACUGUUUAUCCAAAGUCUCCCCAAGCAAAUUCUAAAUUAUUCUAAAUUAUUUGAGUAACAAAGAUUGGGCCCUUAUACCUGUGACGUGUCUGGCAAUGACAAAGAAUGUGGAACAUGGGAAGCAUUUAAUACAUAUUUAUU
RNAcentral lists this long non-coding RNA (1573 nucleotides) under Homo sapiens (human). RNAcentral describes it as "novel transcript". Lineage: Eukaryota; Metazoa; Chordata; Mammalia; Primates; Hominidae. The record is from RNAcentral.